Molecule: long non-coding RNA, 1422 nt
Organism: Fundulus heteroclitus (mummichog)
Lineage: Eukaryota; Metazoa; Chordata; Actinopteri; Cyprinodontiformes; Fundulidae
Exons: 3
Source: RefSeq, a predicted model, not a curated record
UAGUCAUUUAACUAACCAUCCUUUUGUGUUUCUUUUGCAGCAUUGGAAGCAAAGUUGUACUACUUUGUAGCAAAAAUUAUUACAGUCUGUGUGGUCCAUGGAGGAGUUACCCACCAUUUUUUCUCAGAAAGGCUGUUUCAGCAAUUUGCGGGCUCCCAACAGCCCCUUUCAGAGCAGAAGUCCUGCAUGAUCACAAACUCCGGGAGCAGCUAAUCAAGGUUUGCAGAGGGCUUCAAGAUUCUGGGGCUACUGAAAGAGCUCCAGAAAAACCCAGCCGUUGUUCCUGACAUGUCCGUGUGUGAGGAGAGAGCCCUCACUGCCAGGGACACUUUUGGAGAGACUGGCUGAUUGACAUUGAAGAAGAGGACCCACCCUCUCUCUCGAUGUUUAUCUCUGGAGCCUCUGCCAUUCCUCCACUUGGCUUUUCCUGCCAGCCUAAAAUGCAGUUUCUGCAUGACACCAAGAAAAUUUAUCCAGAAGCCAAUACUUGUCUUGUUGUCCAGUUGUUGUCACUGCACUCCUCCUAUGAGGCUUUUAGAAUAUACAUGAUGGAGGGAAUUUUGCAAGUUUCUUAAAUGAUUACGAAUGUGACAAUGAAAGGUUACACUGAAAGGUGAUGACGGGUUUGCAUGUUUGUUCAGCUGUUGUUAAUGUUUUACUUAAUUUUAAGGUAAAACAUGGUUUUACAAGUCUGAAAAGUGCACCAGUGUUUAAAAAAAACUGAUCAUCUGGCUUUUACUGAAAGCCUUUUUGCUGGUUCUGAGGAUAAAAUAUCAGAAGACUGUGCCAGAUGAUUUCAGGUUCUGCCAUUAAACUUCUGAAAUGGUUUUAGAUUUUAACAACUUUCAGGAAGUUGACAAAUUGUUAUCCAAGACUAUCAUAUGUCCUCUUCUAGGUUUGUCCUUAUGGCAAUAAAGAAAAUACACAAAAUUAAAGUUUGAUACAUAAAAAAAUAUUUAACUGAACUUAUCAUCAUGGCCACUAAUAACAAAGAAAAAAAUAAACAGAUAUUUUUGCCAAUAGGAGGGAGAAGUUUAACACAAGGAGAGGGCCAAAAUAAAAAUGUGCUUUUUAAAAGAAAGGGAAUGAAUAGAUUUCGUCCCACUUCAUGAUUGUGUCCCACUUGUUGAUUCUUAAUGAAAACAUGCAGUUUUAUAUCUUUGUUUGAAACCUGAAAUUUGGCCAAAGGUUGAAAAGUUCAAGGGGGCUAAAUACUUUCAGAAGGUUCUGUAUGUGAGAUCAUGUUGGUCCAGACAACUCCUGUAUGACAGCAGCUCCAGAUGGAAAGGAAGAGGUUGAAACAAUCUGUUUGUUAACACUGAACCUAUAAAUGAGAAGGCAUUCCCAUAUAACUCACAGUAUAAGAUAUGUAAACUAUAUAGAAUUUCCCAUUAGAGUCAAUAAAGAAGCUGUUUUAUAUUA